AAAAAAAAAAAAAUUAAAACUGCCUACAAGACAACCUGAGAAAAUUCUAAAAGCAAGCACCAAUAUAUACUAGUGGAUUUUAAAAAAAUCUUUCAAUUUGAUUAAUGGUAUUAUCAUUAAUUAGAUAAUUAAUUAAUUUUAAACUAUUUUUUUUUAAAUCCGAGCACUCACUCAUCAGCUGUGGCUUAUGGUGGUGUGGGAUUGAACCUGGGGCUUCAGAGCAUCAGGCAACCAUUCUACCUCAAUAUACAGCAGAAAGAUUGACCUGCUUGCAAAUUUCAGUUCUUCAUAGAUUUCCACAAAAGAUUCAUUUGUUCUCACUUUGCAUACAAUCAGG
This is a long non-coding RNA of Erinaceus europaeus (western European hedgehog), 337 nucleotides long. RefSeq lists it as uncharacterized. Lineage: Eukaryota; Metazoa; Chordata; Mammalia; Eulipotyphla; Erinaceidae. The record is from RefSeq and is a predicted model, not a curated record. The transcript has 3 exons.